RNAcentral lists this long non-coding RNA (1304 nucleotides) under Homo sapiens (human). RNAcentral's name for it is "HSALNT0332894". Lineage: Eukaryota; Metazoa; Chordata; Mammalia; Primates; Hominidae. The record is from RNAcentral.
UGAUUCUGAGGCCUCCCAGCCACGUCGAACUGGCCUAAAAUAGCAACCUGAAAUAUACUGGAUACACAAAAAAACUGUGUUUUAUGGAAUCUAAGAAGCCAUCGGUUACAGAAGAAGGAGAUGCCAGUGACAAGCAAAGUAACUCCCCCACGGCAUGGGAAGAGCCAGCAUCUGCUGCUGUCCAGGAAUACAGUCUCACUGCUGCAGUCAAGGAAGGCCAAAGAAGCCACCGGGGAAAACCAACCCAUCCCGGGGACACUGGAGGCUCACUCCUUCCUCGCUGCAUUCUGAGGCUGCUGCUUUGGAGUGAGAGAUUAUCCUCUGCUUCUCCUGAAAGAGAAGGUGAUAUGCCCAGGACCCUUCCUGAGUAAGAUGUGUUCCUCAGAGGUUAAAAAAGAAAAAAAAGCCCCAAACCCCUGAAACCAAGAAAUCAAGACAGCUCUGGUGGAGAAGCUUUUGGGAACUUGCUGGGGCAGGCUCCAAUCAGCUUAAAGUCCUUGCAAAGAAAGAAAUUGUGCCCUGUCUCUCAGCGUCGACCAUAGCAGAGAGCCUGGGACAUGAAUGGGUGUCAUUAUUUAUCUGCUGAACAAAUAGAAAAACAUUGUCACUGGAAAGACUGAAACUAACAUGAGUGGAAAAGAAUUGAAGCUCAAGAAGCAAAUUAUCUGGAUUUUACAGAGGAAGGAGGACAUUGAAGAUUAGAGGUUGCAUAGCCUGACCAUGUUUACAUCUACUGCAGAUGAAGAGAUUGCUUCGCUUCAAACCUCCUGACUGCCAUGGAACCAUCUGGCACAUACACGUGUGUGGGUGGCGUCAGAAGUGGGAUCUGAAGUAGAGCUUCUAAUGACCUCUAGGAGUGCUGAGUGACCAAGUGAGGUACCUGCAGGACCCUUUUGUGUUCAGUGAUCUCUUGGAGCAGCUGGGGAUCAUGCUUGACCUCCACGGCUAUAGUGUGGUGAACAGGCUCAGUAGGGCUGCUCAGAGAAAGGGAAUCCAGAAGCCUGGCAUGCUGGCAAAAGGCUGUGCCCACUUAUUAGGCUGUGGAAACUGCAUGAUUUCCUGAUUCUGUUCCUCCAAGGGCACCACCCUAAAGCCAGUAAUCCAAUUAAGAAACUGGUAAACUAAAAAUCUUACAACUACUGGAUCUUCUGUCUGUCUGUGUAUUUAUAUGUAUGUGCUGUGUGUGUGAUGUUUAUAUGUAAAAAAGCUCUGAUUAGUUGGCUUAAAAAUAAUAGGUGUUUAAAUCAUAUAUUGUCAGAAAAGUAAAAAGUGUAAUGCCUUUUAGUUCAUGUGACUUUAGUAAU